Molecule: ribosomal RNA, 253 nt
Filed under: uncultured bacterium
Lineage: Bacteria
Description: partial 16S ribosomal RNA
Rfam family: Bacterial small subunit ribosomal RNA
Source: RNAcentral
UACGGAGGGGGCGAGCGUUGUUCGGAUUUACUGGGCGUAAAGCGUGUGUAGGUGGUUUCUCAAGUAAGAAGUGAAAGCCCAGGGCUUAACCCUGGAACUGCUUUUUAAACUGGGUCACUAGAGUGUAGGAGAGGCAAAUGGAAUUCCGAGUGUAGAGGUGAAAUUCGUAGAUAUUCGGAGGAACACCAAUGGCGAAAGCAAUUUGCUGGACUAAUACUGACACUGAGACACGAAAGCGUGGGUAGCAAACAGG